This 415-nucleotide ribosomal RNA is filed under the name Enterococcus hirae. Its description in RNAcentral is "bacterial SSU rRNA". It matches the Rfam family "Bacterial small subunit ribosomal RNA", at positions 377 to 786 of the family's 1533-position model. The record is from RNAcentral. Lineage: Bacteria; Bacillati; Bacillota; Bacilli; Lactobacillales; Enterococcaceae.
GAGAGUCUGACGAGCACGCCGCGUGAGUGAAGAAGGUUUUCGGAUCGUAAAACUCUGUUGUUAGAGAAGAACAAGGAUGAGAGUAACUGUUCAUCCCUUGACGGUAUCUAACCAGAAAGCCACGGCUAACUACGUGCCAGCAGCCGCGGUAAUACGUAGGUGGCAAGCGUUGUCCGGAUUUAUUGGGCGUAAAGCGAGCGCAGGCGGUUUCUUAAGUCUGAUGUGAAAGCCCCCGGCUCAACCGGGGAGGGUCAUUGGAAACUGGGAGACUUGAGUGCAGAAGAGGAGAGUGGAAUUCCAUGUGUAGCGGUGAAAUGCGUAGAUAUAUGGAGGAACACCAGUGGCGAAGGCGGCUCUCUGGUCUGUAACUGACGCUGAGGCUCGAAAGCGUGGGGAGCAAACAGGAUUAGAUACC